AUGAACGCUGGCGGAGUGCCUUAAGCAUGCAAGUGGAACGGUCCGAUGACCCGCAAGGGAUGUCGGACAGUCGCAGACGGGUGAGUAAUAUAUAGGAAUCUACCUUUUGAUGGGGAAUAGCUGGCCGAAAGGCCAAUUAAUACCGCAUAACACCGCAAGGUAAAAGGCCGUAACUGGCCGUCGAAAGAGGAGCCUAUAUCCUAUCAGCUAGUUGGUGAGGUAAAGGCCCACCAAGGCGAUGACGGGUAGCUGGACUGAGAGGUCGGUCAGCCACAAUAGCACUGAGACACGGGCUAUACAUCUACGGAUGGCAGCAACUGGGAAUAUUGCGCAAUGGACGAAAGUCUGACGCAGCGACUCCGCGUGGAGGAUGACGGUUUUCGGAUCGUAAACUCCUUUUGACUUCUCAUAUGAGAGGUAGAAUAAGCACCUGCUAACCACGU
RNAcentral lists this ribosomal RNA (443 nucleotides) under uncultured bacterium. RNAcentral's name for it is "bacterial SSU rRNA". It matches the Rfam family "Bacterial small subunit ribosomal RNA", at positions 29 to 506 of the family's 1533-position model. The record is from RNAcentral.